Molecule: ribosomal RNA, 497 nt
Filed under: uncultured bacterium
Lineage: Bacteria
Description: partial 16S ribosomal RNA
Rfam family: Bacterial small subunit ribosomal RNA
Source: RNAcentral
GAUGAACGCUGGCGGCGUGCCUAAUACAUGCAAGUCGAGCGAACGGACGAGAAGCUUUCUUCUCUGAUGUUAGCGGCGGUCGGGUGAGUAACACGUGUAUAACCUACCUAUAAUACUGGGAUAACUUCGGGAAACCGGAGCUAAUACCGGAUAAUAUUUUGAACCGCAUUGUUCAAAAGUGAAAUACGGUCUUUCUUUCACUUAUAGAUGGUUCCUCGCUGCAUUAGCUAGUUGGUAAGGUAACGGCUUACCAAGGCAACGAUGCAUAGCCGACCUGAGAGGGUGAUAGGACACACUGGAACUGAGACACGGUCCAGAAUCCUACGGGAGGCAGCAGUAGGGAAUCUUCCGCAAUGGGCGAAAGCAUGACGGAGCAACGCCGCGUGAGUGAUGAAGGUCUUCGGAUCGUAAAACUCUGUUAUUAGGGAAGAAAAUAUGUGUAAGUAACUGUGCACAUCUUGACGGUACCUAAUCAGAAAGCCACGGCUAACUACGUG